Non-coding RNA from Pelobates cultripes (western spadefoot toad), 305 nucleotides. The record is from the annotation of a GenBank genome assembly. NCBI's taxonomy places the organism in Eukaryota, Metazoa, Chordata, Amphibia, Anura, Pelobatidae.
UUUUUUUUCUUCUUUUGCAGCAGUGAAUGUUCUUGGACCUGCUGAUCUACUAUAUAUAUUGUCUUAAAAAAAUAUUUUGCCCUAUUUAUUUAUGGACUGUCUUACAUUAACAUUAUUUCAUGUCAUGCCACUUGAUAUUUCACUUUUUAAGGGAAUAGGUCAUGGAAAAAAAAUAUUUUUUUAAUUGAUUUAGUAUACGUUAAAGUUUUAAAGGGUCACUCCAAGUAUCAUAACAUAUACAGCCCCCUGUAGCAGUUAUAUUGCCAGAGGUAUACUGGGUAUAUGGGUAAUGAGGCCAACUGUUU